AGGUGGAAAUUUUGAUCAGGGUCAUCAUUGGGAACAGCACAGAACGUGUGCAAUGACAUUCCUUCCAUCAAAGAACAGGCAGUAGCCUGUCAAAUUUGAUACAUUUCUCAUCCUGCUGGCCAGACAUAGCCACUGCCUCCUGAUCUGUGAGGGUUCAUUAAAAAAAUCUGCGGCAUGCCUCUGGGAACAGUGCCUCUUCAGAUGUCAGCUAACACACUUAAAACAACAUCAACAAUCCAUGCUGCAGAAUCAAAGAGAGGAUGGGAACGAGAAUGAGGAGUGUGAAAAAUCUGUUCCAAACCCCACUGUGCUUCGAAACAGAACCUUUUGGGAAGUCUAAUUCCCGAGCAGUUUGUUAGGAAAAGGU
Molecule: long non-coding RNA, 367 nt
Organism: Mauremys mutica (yellowpond turtle)
Lineage: Eukaryota; Metazoa; Chordata; Testudines; Geoemydidae
Exons: 3
Source: RefSeq, a predicted model, not a curated record